CUCGAGGACACGUGUUGGCAGAUCACUUUCUCCUUUCUUUCGUUCGUGCUCUCUCUCUCUCUCUCUCGCUCACAAUCUUCGACCAGAGAAAUCGAGGAAGAAGCGGCAGAGAUCGCAACCCGCCGCCGGAAGAAAGGUUCGUCGGUGAAGGAUGAUCCCAACCAGUCGUCUAAUCCUUCAUCUCUGCCUCCUCCUUCGCCGAUCAACGCAGGAGAAUCGGUCGUGGCGGGUACGACGGGGAAGGCGAAGAAGAAAGCCGGAGGAGCGAGGGAUUUGAGGAUUCUCGGCCCUGUCUUGUGGAGUGCACAAUCAUCAAACUCAGGUGUUGACGAAGCUGGAGCCAUGGCGUGACCUCAAAGACAAAGUGGUUCUUGUGACAGGAGCUUCCUCUGGUAUAGGAAAAGAGAUAUGUCUUGAUUUGGUCAAAGCUGGCUGUAAGAUUAUCGCAGCAGCACGUCGUGUCGACCGCCUCAACUCUCUCUGCUCCAACAUCAACAGCUUCGGUUCAACCGGAACCCAAGCCACAGCUCUCGAGCUAGACGUCGCAUCGGAUGUAGCCACCAUUCGAAAAGCGGUUAAGGAAGCUUGGGAAGUAUUUGGCCUAACUGCAAUCUGAUGUUGGCCUAAUCAUUACUUUAAUGUAGGUCUUGGUUCUCCCUCUGAGUAAGCCUGUCAUCCUCGAAACUUCAUUAGCCGUGGUAUGCUGAAUGCGCUCUACACGGGGCAGGUUGUUACAUUUUAUUCAAGCCGUCCUCCAUGUAGUUCAGUUCAUUGCAUGUACUCUUCACGUAUGGGCUUCUUUAAACAGUUUGUACCCCCUCCUAUCAGGAUCUAGAGGCUAGCAGAUAACAAUCACGAGGACACAACAUAUUUGAAUUCUCAGCAUGUAUGUCUCUAAGCAAUAAACAUGGCCUUCUUUGCAUAGUAGUAUGAUUAUAUUUUAUUCUUCACAGAGAUUCAAUUACAAUGAUUGUUCGCAGUUUAAUGUAUUUUCUUCUUUCCUUGCUAAUCUUGGAACUAUUAGUGAUUACGCAAAAAGUAUAUCAGGAACUUAGGAUCUUUGUUACCCUAA
Long non-coding RNA from Brassica oleracea var. oleracea, 1072 nucleotides. RefSeq lists it as uncharacterized. The transcript has 4 exons. The record is from RefSeq and is a predicted model, not a curated record. Lineage: Eukaryota; Viridiplantae; Streptophyta; Magnoliopsida; Brassicales; Brassicaceae.